Long non-coding RNA from Empidonax traillii (willow flycatcher), 255 nucleotides. RefSeq lists it as uncharacterized. NCBI's taxonomy places the organism in Eukaryota, Metazoa, Chordata, Aves, Passeriformes, Tyrannidae. The record is from RefSeq and is a predicted model, not a curated record. The transcript is spliced from 3 exons.
GGCUUCUGUGCUUGUUGUCACUCUCAGAAACAGCAAAUACUCUCCAAAACACCCUCCCAAGGAUUUGCUACACCUGGAGUGGGAACACAGAGAAGAGGGAGUCCACUCCUGCCAGUUUGGAGCCUACCAGGAUGCCUUUGGCAAAGGAGCCAGAGGUGCUGCCAGGAAAACCUCCUGGCCUCCCUGCAGUGCCAAACUGAAACGUUUUCAAGCUUGAUUUCCUUCAGUUGAUUCACUUUGCUAAGCCAACUGGUG